Molecule: transfer RNA, 75 nt
Filed under: Candidatus Babelota bacterium
Lineage: Bacteria
Also listed under: 2 other names
Description: Candidatus Dependentiae bacterium tRNA-Thr
Rfam family: tRNA
About the family: Transfer RNA (tRNA) molecules are approximately 80 nucleotides in length. Their secondary structure includes four short double-helical elements and three loops (D, anti-codon, and T loops).
Source: RNAcentral
GCCGAUGUAGCUCAGGGGUAGAGCAACUGAUUCGUAAUCAGUAGGUCAUCGGUUCAAUUCCGAUCAUCGGCUCCA